AGUGAACGCUGGCGGUAGGCCUAACACAUGCAAGUCGAACGGCAGCACAGUAAGAGCUUGCUCUUACGGGUGGCGAGUGGCGGACGGGUGAGGAAUACAUCGGAAUCUACUUUUUCGUGGGGGAUAACGUAGGGAAACUUACGCUAAUACCGCAUACGACCUACGGGUGAAAGCAGGGGAUCUUCGGACCUUGCGCGAUUGAAUGAGCCGAUGUCGGAUUAGCUAGUUGGCGGGGUAAAGGCCCACCAAGGCGACGAUCCGUAGCUGGUCUGAGAGGAUGAUCAGCCACACUGGAAGUGAGACACGGUCCAGACUCCUACGGGAGGCAGCAGAGGGGAAUAUUGGACAAUGGGCGCAAGCCUGAUCCAGCCAUACCGCGUGGGUGAAGAAGGCCUUCGGGUUGUAAAGCCCUUUUGUUGGGAAAGAAAAGCAGCAGGUUAAUACCCCGCUGUUCUGACGGUACCCAAAGAAUAAGCACCGGCUAACUUCGUG
This 492-nucleotide ribosomal RNA is filed under the name uncultured bacterium. Its description in RNAcentral is "partial 16S ribosomal RNA". It matches the Rfam family "Bacterial small subunit ribosomal RNA", at positions 29 to 507 of the family's 1533-position model. The record is from RNAcentral.